Molecule: ribosomal RNA, 914 nt
Filed under: uncultured bacterium
Lineage: Bacteria
Description: bacterial SSU rRNA
Rfam family: Bacterial small subunit ribosomal RNA
Source: RNAcentral
GAGUUUGAUCAUGGCUCAGGAUGAACGCUAGCUACAGGCUUAACACAUGCAAGUCGAGGGGCAGCAUGAACUUAGCUUGCUAAGUUUGAUGGCGACCGGCGCACGGGUGAGUAACACGUAUCCAACCUGCCGAUGACUCGGGGAUAGCCUUUCGAAAGAAAGAUUAAUACCCGAUGGCAUAGUUCUUCCGCAUGGUAGGACUAUUAAAGAAUUUCGGUCAUCGAUGGGGAUGCGUUCCAUUAGCUUGUUGGCGGGGUAACGGCCCACCAAGGCAUCGAUGGAUAGGGGUUCUGAGAGGAAGGUCCCCCACAUUGGAACUGAGACACGGUCCAAACUCCUACGGGAGGCAGCAGUGAGGAAUAUUGGUCAAUGGGCGCUAGCCUGAACCAGCCAAGUAGCGUGAAGGAUGACUGCCCUAUGGGUUGUAAACUUCUUUUAUAUGGGAAUAAAGUGCAGUAUGUAUACUGCUUUGCAUGUACCUUAUGAAUAAGGAUCGGCUAACUCCGUGCCAGCAGCCGCGGUAAUACGGAGGAUCCGAGCGUUAUCCGGAUUUAUUGGGUUUAAAGGGAGCGUAGGCGGGUUGUUAAGUCAGUUGUGAAAGUUUGCGGCUCAACCGUAAAAUUGCAGUUGAUACUGGCAUCCUUGAGUACAGUAGAGGUAGGCGGAAUUCGUGGUGUAGCGGUGAAAUGCUUAGAUAUCACGAAGAACUCCGAUUGCGAAGGCAGCCUGCUGGACUGUAACUGACGCUGAUGCUCGAAAGUGUGGGUAUCAAACAGGAUUAGAUACCCUGGUAGUCCACACAGUAAACGAUGAAUACUCGCUGUUUGCGAUAUACAGUAAGCGGCCAAGCGAAAGCGUUAAGUAUUCCACCUGGGGAGUACGCCGGCAACGGUGAAACUCAAAGGAAUUGACGG